UGGAUCCAGACUUUGAUUAUGCUCAGGAUGAACGCUGGCGGCGUGCCUAAUACAUGCAAGUCGAACGAAACUUCUUUAUCACCGAGUGCUUGCACUCACCGAUGAAGAGUUGAGUGGCGAACGGGUGAGUAACACGUGGGCAACCUGCCCGAAAGAGGGGGAUAACACUUGGAAACAGGUGCUAAUACCGCAUAACCAUGAACACCGCAUGGUGUUUAUGUGAAAGGUGGUUUCGGCUACCGCUUUCGGAUGGGCCCGCGGCGCAUUAGCUAGUUGGUGGGGUAAAGGCUUACCAAGGCAAUGAUGCGUAGCCGAACUGAGAGGUUGAUCGGCCACAUUGGGACUGAGACACGGCCCAAACUCCUACGGGAGGCAGCAGUAGGGAAUCUUCCACAAUGGGCGAAAGCCUGAUGGAGCAACGCCGCGUGGGUGAAGAAGGUCUUCGGAUCGUAAAACCCUGUUGUCAGAGAAGAAAGUGCAUGAGAGUAACUGUUCAUGUUUCGACGGUAUCUGACCAGAAAGCCACGGCUAACUACGUGCCAGCAGCCGCGGUAAUACGUAGGUGGCAAGCGUUAUCCGGAUUUAUUGGGCGUAAAGGGAACGCAGGCGGUCUUUUAAGUCUGAUGUGAAAGCCUUCGGCUUAACCGGAGUAGUGCAUUGGAAACUGGGAGACUUGAGUGCAGAAGAGGAGAGUGGAACUCCAUGUGUAGCGGUGAAAUGCGUAGAUAUAUGGAAGAACACCAGUGGCGAAAGCGGCUCUCUGGUCUGUAACUGACGCUGAGGUUCGAAAGCGUGGGUAGCAAACAGGAUUAGAUACCCUGGUAGUCCACGCCGUAAACGAUGAAUGCUAAGUGUUGGAGGGUUUCCGCCCUUCAGUGCUGCAGUUAACACAAUAAGCAUUCCGCCUGGGGAGUACGACCGCAAGGUUGCAACUCAAAGGAAUUGACGGA
This 950-nucleotide ribosomal RNA is filed under the name uncultured Bacillota bacterium. RNAcentral describes it as "bacterial SSU rRNA". It matches the Rfam family "Bacterial small subunit ribosomal RNA", at positions 1 to 917 of the family's 1533-position model. Lineage: Bacteria; Bacillati; Bacillota. The record is from RNAcentral.